RNAcentral lists this ribosomal RNA (253 nucleotides) under uncultured bacterium. RNAcentral's name for it is "partial 16S ribosomal RNA". It matches the Rfam family "Bacterial small subunit ribosomal RNA", at positions 524 to 776 of the family's 1533-position model. The record is from RNAcentral.
UACGGGGGGGGCGAGCGUUGUUCGGAAUUACUGGGCGUAAAGGGCUCGUAGGCGGCCAACUAAGUCCGACGUGAAAUCCCCAGGCUUAACCUGGGAACUGCGUCGGAUACUGGAUGGCUUGAAUUCGGGAGAGGGAUGCAGAAUUCCAGGUGUAGCGGUGAAAUGCGUAGAUAUCUGGAGGAAUACCGGUGGCGAAGGCGGCAUCCUGGACCGACAUUGACGCUGAUGAGCGAAAGCUAGGGGAGCAAACGGG